This 2004-nucleotide ribosomal RNA is filed under the name Escherichia coli. RNAcentral's name for it is "partial 23S ribosomal RNA". It matches the Rfam family "Bacterial large subunit ribosomal RNA", at positions 165 to 2193 of the family's 2925-position model. Lineage: Bacteria; Pseudomonadati; Pseudomonadota; Gammaproteobacteria; Enterobacterales; Enterobacteriaceae. The record is from RNAcentral.
CAUAGGUUAAUGAGGCGAACCGGGGGAACUGAAACAUCUAAGUACCCCGAGGAAAAGAAAUCAACCGAGAUUCCCCCAGUAGCGGCGAGCGAACGGGGAGGAGCCCAGAGCCUGAAUCAGUGUGUGUGUUAGUGGAAGCGUCUGGAAAGGCGCGCGAUACAGGGUGACAGCCCCGUACACAAAAAUGCACAUGCUGUGAGCUCGAUGAGUAGGGCGGGACACGUGGUAUCCUGUCUGAAUAUGGGGGGACCAUCCUCCAAGGCUAAAUACUCCUGACUGACCGAUAGUGAACCAGUACCGUGAGGGAAAGGCGAAAAGAACCCCGGCGAGGGGAGUGAAAAAGAACCUGAAACCGUGUACGUACAAGCAGUGGGAGCCUCUUAAUGGGGUGACUGCGUACCUUUUGUAUAAUGGGUCAGCGACUUAUAUUCUGUAGCAAGGUUAACCGAAUAGGGGAGCCGAAGGGAAACCGAGUCUUAACUGGGCGUUAAGUUGCAGGGUAUAGACCCGAAACCCGGUGAUCUAGCCAUGGGCAGGUUGAAGGUUGGGUAACACUAACUGGAGGACCGAACCGACUAAUGUUGAAAAAUUAGCGGAUGACUUGUGGCUGGGGGUGAAAGGCCAAUCAAACCGGGAGAUAGCUGGUUCUCCCCGAAAGCUAUUUAGGUAGCGCCUCGUGAAUUCAUCUCCGGGGGUAGAGCACUGUUUCGGCAAGGGGGUCAUCCCGACUUACCAACCCGAUGCAAACUGCGAAUACCGGAGAAUGUUAUCACGGGAGACACACGGCGGGUGCUAACGUCCGUCGUGAAGAGGGAAACAACCCAGACCGCCAGCUAAGGUCCCAAAGUCAUGGUUAAGUGGGAAACGAUGUGGGAAGGCCCAGACAGCCAGGAUGUUGGCUUAGAAGCAGCCAUCAUUUAAAGAAAGCGUAAUAGCUCACUGGUCGAGUCGGCCUGCGCGGAAGAUGUAACGGGGCUAAACCAUGCACCGAAGCUGCGGCAGCGACACUAUGUGUUGUUGGGUAGGGGAGCGUUCUGUAAGCCUGUGAAGGUGGCCUGUGAGGGUUGCUGGAGGUAUCAGAAGUGCGAAUGCUGACAUAAGUAACGAUAAAGCGGGUGAAAAGCCCGCUCGCCGGAAGACCAAGGGUUCCUGUCCAACGUUAAUCGGGGCAGGGUGAGUCGACCCCUAAGGCGAGGCCGAAAGGCGUAGUCGAUGGGAAACAGGUUAAUAUUCCUGUACUUGGUGUUACUGCGAAGGGGGGACGGAGAAGGCUAUGUUGGCCGGGCGACGGUUGUCCCGGUUUAAGCGUGUAGGCUGGUUUUCCAGGCAAAUCCGGAAAACCAAGGCUGAGGCGUGAUGACGAGGCACUACGGUGCUGAAGUGACAAAUGCCCUGCUUCCAGGAAAAGCCUCUAAGCAUCAGGUAACAUCAAAUCGUACCCCAAACCGACACAGGUGGUCAGGUAGAGAAUACCAAGGCGCUUGAGAGAACUCGGGUGAAGGAACUAGGCAAAAUGGUGCCGUAACUUCGGGAGAAGGCACGCUGAUAUGUAGGUGAAGCGACUUGCUCGUGGAGCUGAAAUCAGUCGAAGAUACCAGCUGGCUGCAACUGUUUAUUAAAAACACAGCACUGUGCAAACACGAAAGUGGACGUAUACGGUGUGACGCCUGCCCGGUGCCGGAAGGUUAAUUGAUGGGGUUAGCGGUAACGCGAAGCUCUUGAUCGAAGCCCCGGUAAACGGCGGCCGUAACUAUAACGGUCCUAAGGUAGCGAAAUUCCUUGUCGGGUAAGUUCCGACCUGCACGAAUGGCGUAAUGAUGGCCAGGCUGUCUCCACCCGAGACUCAGUGAAAUUGAACUCGCUGUGAAGAUGCAGUGUACCCGCGGCAAGACGGAAAGACCCCGUGAACCUUUACUAUAGCUUGACACUGAACAUUGAGCCUUGAUGUGUAGGAUAGGUGGGAGGCUUUGAAGUGUGGACGCCAGUCUGCAUGGAGCCGACCUU